GCUUCAGUGGCGCAGUCGGUAGCGCGUAAGUCUCAUAAUCUUAAGGUCGACGGAUCGAGACCGUCCUGGAGCA
Molecule: non-coding RNA, 73 nt
Organism: Rhagoletis zephyria (snowberry fruit fly)
Lineage: Eukaryota; Metazoa; Arthropoda; Insecta; Diptera; Tephritidae
Source: the annotation of a RefSeq genome assembly